CUCUGUUCACGGCCGCCGGCGGCUGCGAGAGAGAGAGAGAGAGAGGCGAAGGCGUCAUGGCAAUCAAGCCAGCCUUGGCCGAGGCCGCACCGGUGUGCGACGCGUGGACGGGGCCUGCGCUCUGCCCCCACGCCAUCUUCCCCCAAAUCUCGCGCAGCAUCAGCUGAGGAUCUCUGAUGUGGCUCCACUCCGCCGUCGCUUCCAGCGCGGUGGAUCUGUGUGAAGCUCGCAGUAGCAUCGUGUCCAGAGGUCCGGCGAGCGCGGAGGUCCGGCGGGCAACGGGAUGGCCCCAGGUCGGGGCUGCCGAGGUCCUUCGCUGCCUCCGUGCCUGCAGUGAUGGGCGCGUAGUUGCGGCACGCCAGGCACAGCGCGCAAGCCCCGUUAGCGGCCGUGAUUCCAGCAGGGACUAGCGGUCAGUUUCCUCCCUCUCCUCCCUUUUACCGUCCUUGAAUCAAGCUGUGCUAGCUAGUGCCGUGAUUCCAGCAGGGACUAGGCGGUCAGUUAACUAAGUGUGAGAGUGCAUGGGAUAGAUCUAUGUGCCUAUGCUCCUUUUGUACUGAUAUCGCAAGAAGACAAGAAGCGUCUCACAGUAGAACAGGUUUCCGAUUCCUUUUUUGUUCCACGUAGCCGCGAUUAGAAUAUUUUCCGGUUAGAAUAUUUUCUUGAUGCUUAGGAAAGUUUGUCAAUGUCAGAAUUUACUUGGCGGUAACACCGUGACCGUCAAGAAGAUUAUUCUUAGUGGCCAGCUGCUAAGGUAAUCAGAUUUUACUGGUGCUCUAUUCUUGGUUGGUGGAUUUUGCUUGAUGGUCGGCCGCUAAGAAUCAUUUACUUGGUGGUUUCUGUGCUUUUCUUAGAUAAUUUCAGUUUCUGGUAGCGCGCGUCCAUGAAUAACCGCGGGUUAGUCAAGGCGUAAACAAAGCGUGUCCUGGUCCACCAGAGCCAUCAGAUCACGUUGUCACCAUUGACGCUGGCAAGUCUUGUUACGACCCAAAACUUUUUAACAUGAUAAAAAAUUAAGCAACAUCAUCAUGAGCAUCAUUCAAGCAUAAUGGAGCAUCAUGUGCAUAUGAUUGAUUGAAAGAAUUGAAUUUCUUACUUUGUUUAAAGAGAGAAGGGUUGUUGAGGAAGUUCAAAUUUUGUUAAGUAAUUAUGCCCCCAAAAAUUUUAUUCAAAUACUAGAUUUCAAAUGGUGAAUUUUGAAUAUUUUUUGAGAAUUUUUGGAUGUUUAACCCGAUCCAUAAAAUUUUUGUAAAAUUUGAAAACAACAGUUUUGCUCGAAUUUUUAUAAGCAAUACUUAAUAGUUUUUUUUUGAGUCUUUGUUGUUGCAUUAUGUUCUUGGUGAUUUAUUCUUGCUUCAGUAAAUUUUUGAUGAUUUUUGGAGCUCGGGAAGUACGAGAUUUUGAAUUUAGAAUUUGAAUCGCUGAUUUUCUUUAUUUCCUUUCUCACCCAGGCCCACCCGUCAGCCCCUCUCUCUCCCCGCGUGACGCAGCCUGGCGUGGCCGGUUGCCCAGCCGUGGCAGCGUCGCCACGCCGUCGGCCGCUGGCUGGUCCAGUGUGGCCGUGGGGCGACGCCACCCGGUGCCCGCGCCCUCUUCUUCCCCUUCUCUCUCCCUCGGGCGCAUUUCUUCCUCCUCGUGAAAACCCUAGCCCCGCCUGACCGCCGCCGCUUCUUCCUCCUCCUGUCCGCCGUCGCCGCGAAUCUCCGCUCGAUUCCGCACACGCACAGCACCCAUUGCCCCUCCUCGCUCGGCCUCGGCCCUUAAUCGCCUCCCUCCUCCCUUGCAGCUGCUUCCCAACGCGCGCCUCCGUCUGCAGCCGCCGCCCUCCGCCGCGUCGCCGCCCGUCCGUGCCGCAGAUGGCUCCCAAGUUGAUCAUGGCGACUCGCGCCCCGGAGACGAUUGGAUUCCCGGCUCUCCUUAAUGAGAUGUUGAGGCGGGCGUACUGCACUUUUCAACCCGAGUAUGCGGUUUAUGCCCUUGGUCAUGGAGUCGGCUUGGUGGAUUACAUGGCGACUCUCCACCUUGAGGCAAGGAUGGUGGUUGGAGCAGAGACGUAUGACUUCUAAGCUUGGGGUACCUCGGUGGAGAUGGCUAACCACAUUCUACUAAGGACGAAUCAGGGAGUAAACCCUAAUAGGAGGAAAAAUUAGGGUUAUGCGCUCAUACCUGCCUGCGUGGAUGGCUGCGGCUGCCGCGCGACGGCUACGUAGGACUCGCGUCACCGGCCGACGAGCUCGCUCCCGCGCCGCGGACUGGUACUGAAGGUACCGCGCCGCCGCGUGGUAAUUCGCGAGACAGAAUGUGCUCUAGAUUUCGUUUUGGCAGAGUUCAAAUGGGUUGGGAACGGGCCUCUCAGUGUGCAGACCAGAAUAACUGAGUAUUGAGCCGAGAAUAACCGAGUUGGCGCAUUAGAAUAACUGAGUUAUUGGAACGGAAUAACUGAGUGAUUGGCGACAGAGCAACUGAGUGUGCAGACCAGAAUAACUGAGUUGGCACAUUAGAAUAACUGAGUUAUUAGGACCAGAAUAACUGAGAUCUUAGAAUAGCACAUCCUGUAUCUUGGAAAAGCACUUUCUGUAUCUUGGAAAAGCACUUCCUGUAUCUUGGAAAAGCACUUCCUAUAUCUUGGAAAAGCACAUCCUGUAUCUUGCAAUAGCACAUCCUGUAUCUUGCAAUAUCACAUCCUUAACUCUAAAGUAUGCAGUAGCACGUCCGGAUUUAUGAAAUAUCACAUCUGUAUCUAGCAAUAGCACGCGGUGUGGGCACGAUUUCCCUACCAUUUGAUUUGUACAGCAAGCACGCCCACUAUCUUGGAAUAGCACAUCCAGUAUCUUGGAAUAGCACAUCCUGUAUCUUGGAAUAGCACAUCCUGUAUGCUAUUACUACUAUUUCCUGCAGUAAAAUCUAAAGUAUCUUGGCCACGUAAGCCAAGCAGGGGACCUGCAAUAGUAAAAACUAGGAGUUGGUGGAAGGUAUGUCAAUUGUGAGGUUAGCAAGAAGUUCUUUGUGGCCAUGUUCUGUGGGAUGACUCCUGUCCAGCGAGAGGGGAACGCAAACAGGCGUCGAGCACAUACUGUAUCUAGGAAUAGAACAACUACAAUGCUACGUGAUAAUAACGGUACGUGGGAAUGAACGUAAACCAUAGCAUAGCAUUGCCAAACGUGAUAAUAACGGUAUGUGGGAAUGAACGUAAACCAUAGCAUAGCAUUGCCAACUACAGAUCGGUACAUGGGACGGCGGUUCAGUGGGAAUCGCCAACUGGACUGGCGGUACGUUUGCGUGCUAUUUGGGGGUACUGGACGUGCUAUUCCUUUAAAGGUCAUUGUCGCCGGUUAAGGCACUGUCGCCGGUUAAGGUCAUUCAGGCAAAUUACUGAGUACAUCCAGUCAUUUGUUAAAUUUGAACAAACUCAGUCAUUCUAUCUUAGACGCGUUUAGCAUCAGGGCUGCCGUUACGGCAUUUAGCAGGCUAUAGCCGGCUAUUUAAAACUUUGACUCUGAUGAAAGAAUCUGGAGUUUGUUUGAAAAAAAAUGGCAAAGCUGGAUGGAUGGAAAAAAGACAGAAAAGGGAGGUUAAGCAGACCAUGAUGUCGAAGACAUCCUCGUUGCCGUUCACCGCCGGCCGGUCGGGCGGUCAGGCGCGGUAGAGAAUUUGGUACCGAUUAGAUGAAUUAGAAAUAAAAAAACGACAUUAUAAGCCCACAAAGGCUUGAUGGUCCUUGGCUAGGCCGCGCUAAGCGCACUUCCUCCGUUCUGCAAUCUAUGACCGACAAGCCCGCUUCCUCCGAUCUUGGCUGGGCUGAACCUAAGCCGCUAGGCCGCGCUAAGGCCGCUUCCUCCGUUCUGCAAUCUAUGAUCGACAAGCCCUCUUCCUCCGAUCUUGGCUGUGCUGAACCUAAGCCGCUAGGCCGCGCUAAGCCCGCUUCCUCCGUUCUGCAAUCUAUGACCGACAAGCCCGCUUCCUCCGAUCUUGGCUGGGUCGAACCUAAGCCGCUAGGCUGCGCUAAGCCCGCUUUCUCCGUUCUGCAAUCUAUGACCGACAAGCCCGCUUCCUCCGAUCUGCAGCCCCCAGCCUAGCUGCCGUCGCCGUCGUGUGCGCCGCCCAGGGCAUCUCCUUUCCGGCGAGUUCAAGCUCCACCGCAUCCUAGCCGCCGCCGCCGCGCGGUCUUCUCUGGCCCCAGCGUCUCCACCACGCCCUAGCUUCUGUGGUUCCAGCGUUAAAAUGGCAACUGCACAAGCUUUGUUCAAAGAGGUGCUAUCAUUUCCAGUAGAUGAUAUUUUGAAGCGGAAGCAGUCACAUUUCAAGGUAUGAGUCUCUCCCAACAGGUAACAUUCCUUAUUUUGCACCUGAAACGUCUCCAUUUCAAGGUUUCAUGUUGUUACAGGUUGAGACGAUUCCCAAUGAAUUUGCCACCCGUCUGGCAUAUACAGAAGCAUUUCGCAAUCCAAAAUUAGAAGAGAUCUGGCAUCAUAUUGACUCUAGCAUGGAUACCAUAUCCAGAGGCCUAGAUGUUGUUUCCUAUAAGUGCUCCAAGAACCGUAGAGGGUUAAAUGAGUACAACAUCAAGCUCAAUUUAGAGAAUGUAGAGAAUAUGCCAAGAAAAGGAGACCUCAUGUUAUUUCUAGAAAGGGGAUUGGAAUCAAGAGACCAAAUUAUCAAGGCUGGCUCCUUUUGUACCAUCAUAGUGGUUAUAGACAACACUAGAACAUAUAACCAUACAACUUCAAUGCUUGUCUGGAUGUCACGGUCACCUUAUGGAGGCAGUUUAAAUGACCAACGUUCUUACCAAGUUAUGAGCAUGUGCAAUCUGACAACUUUUGCAUGUAGUUGGGAAGUUAUGACGAGAGGUUGCCAAGACAAUCCAGAAAUAAUCAAUCUCAUGUUGACUAAAAAUAAGGAGAAUGUGGAUAAUAUUCUGCUGGCUGAUGGAAAAUAUGGACAAUUCACAGGUAAGGAUUUUGGAUUGAACAAAUCACAGAAAGAUGCAGUGGCAAGUUGCAUUUCAGCCUCUGAAUGUCCAAAUAAAUUAUCUGUACGUCUAAUUUGGGGCCCACCAGGCACAGGUAAAACUAAAACAGCUUCAGUGGUUCUGCUUAUGCUUCUAAAGAAUCUAAGCACACGUAGAACUCUUGUAUGUGCUCCAACCAACACAGCUCUCACACAAUUGGCUUCCGUCUUGUUUCUCUAGUUGAAGAGUCCACCAAAACCAGUCAUUUACUUAAAGACAUCAUUAUAUUUGGGAGUGAGAAGCUUAUGAACAAAGCAAAUGACCUGUCAAAAAUUUCAUUGGAUUGUCGAAUAAGAGAAAGAUAUUCGAGAACCAGAGUUUUGAACGAUGCAAAACUUGUAUUUUGCACUCCUUGUAGUUCAUUUAGGUUUGUAGGAAAUCAGCGAUUUGACACCUUGGUUAUUGAUGAGGCCGCAAACCUAAAAGAAUGUGAAUCAUUGAUCCCUCUCUCUAUUGGUGGGAUAAAACACGUGGUGCUUAUGGGGGAUGACAAGCAGCUACAAUCAGUGGUAAAGAGCCCGAUUGCUAAAGAUGCUAAGUAUGGACGAAGCCUGUUUGAGAGAUUGAGUGAAAUCGGUCACCACAAGCAGAUGCUUGAUGAGCAAUAUAGAAUGUACCCCUGCAUCAGCAAGUUCCCAAAUGGCAAUUUUUAUGGUGGAAAAAUUAAAGAUGGCACUAAGCCUUAUGGAAACUUCGACAUUUACUUGGAUCUAUUUUUCAGAAUUACUCAUUCAUGUUGAAGGCGGUACAGAAAAACAUGUUUGUACGAGUUUUGUAAAUAAGAUUGAAGCUGAAAAGAUCGUUGAUAAACUUGCUGAA
Molecule: long non-coding RNA, 5827 nt
Organism: Panicum hallii
Lineage: Eukaryota; Viridiplantae; Streptophyta; Magnoliopsida; Poales; Poaceae
Exons: 3
Source: RefSeq, a predicted model, not a curated record